Canis lupus familiaris (dog) is the source of this 764-nucleotide long non-coding RNA. RefSeq lists it as uncharacterized. The transcript is spliced from 2 exons. The record is from RefSeq and is a predicted model, not a curated record. NCBI's taxonomy places the organism in Eukaryota, Metazoa, Chordata, Mammalia, Carnivora, Canidae.
UGUUGUCAAAGUCUUGUUUCCUUUUUGGGCAAUAGGCCUGUGGCCCUUGGGUCCUACAAGGUCCCACUGGGCUAUGUUUUCUGGCAUGCAGGCAACUAUAGGAACAUUGACAGAAUGUUCCAGGUUAAAAAAAAAAUGUUAAGGCUUCAUCAAACACCCUCACUCUUUCAGAAAUGUUCUCAAAAUGACACACCUUGUCACCAGGCUUUCUCCGGGCAAAUUGGUGACUUGUGUUUGGGCCACCGUGUUCUGAUCAUCACGUGCUCCACACUUUGGAAAGAGAUAUAAGAUCAUGGAACAUGGAAGGCCCGGGAAACCCCAAAACUGAGAGGCUCAUUCAUUCAUGGUUGCUGCUACUUCUAGAUCCUGCCUGGCUUUCCUGGAGGGCAGGAUAAAACCCCAAACUCCUAAAUCUGCCCUUCAGAGUCACUCACAGUUAGUUCCAUUCUUGCUCCGUGGCGUGGUGUGUCAUUAAGAGGGCGUACGAUGUCACUGCAAGGAUUUCAGGCCAGAGGCUGGCCUCUUUUAUUCAGCAGGUGCACCCAGAACUGAGCAGGCUCCGAAAACAAGCCAUGAGACGGCACUUCUGCAAUCUCGCCACUAGAUGGGGCCACAGGACCUCUGGAAAAACCCACCCUUUCCUGUUGCUGGUCCUGCAAGGCCAGCUGCCUCCUGGUCACCAGCCCCGGGAUCCACAGGUUUCCAGGCUGUGCCCCGCCCCGAGAGACAACAGAUACCGUAAUUAAAAGAAGUUCAUUAAGCCA